AAAAGGUAACGGAGGCGCUCAAAGGUUCCCUCAGAAUGGUUGGAAAUCAUUCAUAGAGUGUAAAGGCAUAAGGGAGCUUGACUGCGAGACCUACAAGUCGAGCAGGGUCGAAAGACGGACUUAGUGAUCCGGUGGUUCCGCAUGGAAGGGCCAUCGCUCAACGGAUAAAAGCUACCCCGGGGAUAACAGGCUUAUCUCCCCCAAGAGUUCACAUCGACGGGGAGGUUUGGCACCUCGAUGUCGGCUCAUCGCAUCCUGGGGCUGUAGUCGGUCCCAAGGGUUGGGCUGUUCGCCCAUUAAAGCGGUACGCGAGCUGGGUUCAGAACGUCGUGAGACAGUUCGGUCCCUAUCCGUCGUGGGCGUAGGAAAUUUGAGAGGAGCUGUCCUUAGUACGAGAGGACCGGGAUGGACAUACCUCUGGUGUACCAGUUGUCGUGCCAACGGCAUAGCUGGGUAGCUAUGUGUGGACGGGAUAAGUGCUGAAAGCAUCUAAGCAUGAAGCCCCCCUCAAGAUGAGAUUUCCCAACUUCGGUUAUAAGAUCCCUCAAAGAUGAUGAGGUUAAUAGGUUCGAGGUGGAAGCAUGGUGACAUGUGGAGCUGACGAAUACUAAUCGAUCGAAGACU
Molecule: ribosomal RNA, 624 nt
Filed under: Staphylococcus aureus
Lineage: Bacteria; Bacillati; Bacillota; Bacilli; Caryophanales; Staphylococcaceae
Description: partial 23S ribosomal RNA
Rfam family: Bacterial large subunit ribosomal RNA
Source: RNAcentral